UGCAAGUCGAGCGAACAGAUAAGGAGCUUGCUCCUUUGACGUUAGCGGCGGACGGGUGAGUAACACGUGGGUAACCUACCUAUAAGACUGGGAUAACUUCGGGAAACCGGAGCUAAUACCGGAUAACAUUUGGAACCGCAUGGUUCUAAAGUGAAAGAUGGUUUUGCUAUCACUUAUAGAUGGACCCGCGCCGUAUUAGCUAGUUGGUAAGGUAACGGCUUACCAAGGCGACGAUACGUAGCCGACCUGAGAGGGUGAUCGGCCACACUGGAACUGAGACACGGUCCAGACUCCUACGGGAGGCAGCAGUAGGGAAUCUUCCGCAAUGGGCGAAAGCCUGACGGAGCAACGCCGCGUGAGUGAUGAAGGGUUUCGGCUCGUAAAACUCUGUUAUUAGGGAAGAACAAACGUGUAAGUAACUGUGCACGUCUUGACGGUACCUAAUCAGAAAGCCACGGCUAACUACGUGCCAGCAGCCGCGGUAAUACGUAGGUGGCAAGCGUUAUCCGGAAUUAUUGGGCGUAAAGCGCGCGUAGGCGGUUUCUUAAGUCUGAUGUGAAAGCCCACGGCUCAACCGUGGAGGGUCAUUGGAAACUGGGAAACUUGAGUGCAGAAGAGGAAAGUGGAAUUCCAUGUGUAGCGGUGAAAUGCGCAGAGAUAUGGAGGAACACCAGUGGCGAAGGCGACUUUCUGGUCUGUAACUGACGCUGAUGUGCGAAAGCGUGGGGAUCAAACAGGAUUAGAUACCCUGGUAGUCCACGCCGUAAACGAUGAGUGCUAAGUGUUAGGGGGUUUCCGCCCCUUAGUGCUGCAGCUAACGCAUUAAGCACUCCGCCUGGGGAGUACGACCGCAAGGUUGAAACUCAAAGGAAUUGACGGGGACCCGCACAAGCGGUGG
RNAcentral lists this ribosomal RNA (898 nucleotides) under Staphylococcus sp. RNAcentral's name for it is "bacterial SSU rRNA". It matches the Rfam family "Bacterial small subunit ribosomal RNA", at positions 56 to 935 of the family's 1533-position model. The record is from RNAcentral. Lineage: Bacteria; Bacillati; Bacillota; Bacilli; Caryophanales; Staphylococcaceae.